RNAcentral lists this ribosomal RNA (446 nucleotides) under uncultured bacterium. RNAcentral's name for it is "partial 16S ribosomal RNA". It matches the Rfam family "Bacterial small subunit ribosomal RNA", at positions 338 to 795 of the family's 1533-position model. The record is from RNAcentral.
CCUACGGGGUGCUGCAGUCGAGAAUCAUUCACAAUGGGGGAAACCCUGAUGGUGCGACGCCGCGUGGGGGAAUGAAGGUCUUCGGAUUGUAAACCCCUGUCAUGUGGGAGCAAAUUAAAAAGAUAGUACCCCAAGAGGAAGAGACGGCUAACUCUGUGCCAGCAGCCGCGGUAAUACAGAGGUCUCAAGCGUUGUUCGGAAUCACUGGGCGUAAAGCGUGCGUAGGCUGUUUCGUAAGUCGUGUGUGAAAGGCGCGGGCUCAACCCGCGGACGGCACAUGAUACUGCGAGACUAGAGUAAUGGAGGGGGAACCGGAAUUCUCGGUGUAGCAGUGAAAUGCGUAGAUAUCGAGAGGAACACUCGUGGCGAAGGCGGGUUCCUGGACAUUAACUGACGCUGAGGCACGAAGGCCAGGGGAGCGAAAGGGAUUAGAUACCCCAGUAGUC